This 156-nucleotide ribosomal RNA is filed under the name Hypotrachyna osseoalba. RNAcentral's name for it is "5.8S ribosomal RNA". It matches the Rfam family "5.8S ribosomal RNA". From Rfam's summary of the family: 5.8S ribosomal RNA (5.8S rRNA) is a component of the large subunit of the eukaryotic ribosome. It is transcribed by RNA polymerase I as part of the 45S precursor that also contains 18S and 28S rRNA. The record is from RNAcentral. RNAcentral also lists the same sequence under 1 other name. Lineage: Eukaryota; Fungi; Ascomycota; Lecanoromycetes; Lecanorales; Parmeliaceae.
AACUUUCAACAACGGAUCUCUUGGUUCCAGCAUCGAUGAAGAACGCAGCGAAAUGCGAUAAAUAAUGUGAAUUGCAGAAUUUAGUGAAUCAUCGAGUCUUUGAACGCACAUUGCGCCCCUCGGUAUUCCGGGGGGCAUGCCUGUCCGAGCGUCAUU